GAGAGAGCCAUCUCAGUGGUGUUACCUUGCCUGUGGAUUUCUCUCCUGGUGCCAACAUUAUUGUGUGUUUUUUGGCAUCAGGCAAAGGGCUUUAAAUUGGUGAUUAGCCAAUUAAUCCUCACAGAACCUGGAGGGAUUCAAGUGUUAUUGAAAUCUGCAAAGUGUUUUUGAAGAUAUCAAAGAAAAUUCAAGUGCAGCAUCCUCAACUAGCCAACAAAAAAGAUGGGUGACUAUUACAAUCAACUUUAAGUUUUAAAGAAAAGAGGAAAUUCAGCGGAUCAUACUUUUAAGUCAAGAGUGAUGGGGUCUGUUGGGACAUGUUUCUACACCAAGUCAGAAGUGUGUGGGAUUCUUAUCCAAGAGAUGCUGUUUGCAGAUGAAGCAUUGCCAAUAGCAUACUCCGAGGAAUCUCUACGGAGACACAUCAAUCUUUGCCCAAGCUUGAUUGGAGUUUGGCCUUACCACCAGUCUCACAAAGACCAGCAUCCUGGGUCUAGACGUCAUCAGCACUCCAUGCGUCAGCACUGGUUACCACAUGUUUGAAGUAAUAGACAAUUUUGUCUUCCUCUCCAUCAAUGCUGAGCUGGACUAGCUUCUUCGCAAGGCAACUACAGCAAUGGCUUGCCUCUCCAAAACGAAUAAUCCGGAUGCUUCCUUCCAAAGAGGAAAGCCAAAUUUACAUUGAACUUGCUUUCUACGUAAAAAGUCCCCCCCCCACCAGCAGUCCCCGAGUCACAACAGAACAUCCACUGCUGAUCAAAGUUUCAUCCACUAUGUCCAAACUACCGUCAAUAUCGCUGGAAGGUUUGGGUUGAACUUUCCUAUUUCAUAGGAAUGUGUAACAAUGUGGGUGGUGGUGAAACAUCAUUGCCAAUCACCACCAGGAUAUUCUGUAUGCUAGACACAGAUAACUCCCAAAGUUAUACUUUGAGCCUAAUGACCUUGGAUUCCUGCAAAAAGGCACUUGUAAGAAAUGGUAUAAAGUGGUGGUGAUGCAUACAGCAUGUAAUUGGAAGUCUCCAAAGCAACCAUACAGAUAGCAGGGGUUAAUAAAGUUUGGGACACUCUGCUUUAUGUGCAAACUUAAGCAAACAAUGAAAUCAAAUUGUUUUACAAAAUAAAUAUGGCACCAAGAUUCUCUGUUUGUUUUCCUGCCUUUAAGAUGCUGAUCAAAUUCCAGUUACAGAUGCCUGUAUUUUUUUCUGACUAGGAUGUAUAUAUGAUAUAUAACUUAUAUAUACUAUAGUUGGGGAGCUAGUUGUCCCAGAAGCAUACUAUAUUAAAGACUGCAGUAGGCGGCUUUCUUUAUUCCUUAGGUGAGCUUUUCGUACUGGUGUGUGAUAUAUAUGUGUUUUCCUUGCUUAUAUUUUGAAUUAUAUUUCAAAAUAAAAAAUGUAUGGGGGAGGCAGGGGAAGAGAAGACACCAAGGGCACACACAAUUUGACUAAAACCCUGCCAUUUUCAAUUUAUUAUUAUUAAUUUGAGGGUCCCAGUUAAGGAAUGGGGCAUUUUUGUGCUUCCUUCAAAAUUCUUCAGAUUCCUUGACUAUGCAGGAGCCUGCAAAUCCACCUCUUUCACUUUAAGUUAAACUAGACUGAAUAGUGGGUCAUAUUUUCAUACCUUCAAUGCUCAAGUGACUCUGCGUCACCCUAACUUACUUCACUGUUGUGAGGGGAAAUGGUCUGAAAGCAGUGAAAUAGAGAAUGUGCUUUUCCCAUUGUCCUUAUUUGUUCAGAGCCACUCAUAUAAUAGUUCUUUAUAGCAGAAACGGUUAGAAGUUCAUCACACUGUUUAACUGGGGUGGUUCAUAUGUUGGCCAAACUAGUAAUUUUCUGGGGCAUGACUCCUCACAACCUCACUAUAUUCACAAAACAGCAUGUGCUAUUUUGUUCAGCUGGAGCUUGAAGGAGAGCCUCUUUAAGGCAGGUCCAUCAAGUUGGCUCAGAAUCAAAUCAGAUCCAACAAAGCAAAGCACAUCAGGACCUGGACAGCUCUGAGUGAGCUUUACUGGCUGAGCUGCAGGAGAUGUUGUCUCAGCAAAGGACCAGAGUCAUCUGAAGAAUUACGGCGGCUAGCAGGACCCCUCUUCCAGUAGUUGAGCUGUAUGCAAUCCCUAAAGGGCCUGCAGCUGACUCCAGCAUGGCUGUGGAUCAGGAGA
Molecule: long non-coding RNA, 2158 nt
Organism: Podarcis raffonei (Aeolian wall lizard)
Lineage: Eukaryota; Metazoa; Chordata; Lepidosauria; Squamata; Lacertidae
Exons: 5
Source: RefSeq, a predicted model, not a curated record